AUUGAACGCUGGCGGCAGGCUUAACACAUGCAAGUCGAGCGGAGAUGAGGUGCUUGCACCUUAUCUUAGCGGCGGACGGGUGAGUAAUGCUUAGGAAUCUGCCUAUUAGUGGGGGACAACAUUCCGAAAGGAAUGCUAAUACCGCAUACGUCCUACGGGAGAAAGCAGGGGAUCUUCGGACCUUGCGCUAAUAGAUGAGCCUAAGUCGGAUUAGCUAGUUGGUGGGGUAAAGGCCUACCAAGGCGACGAUCUGUAGCGGGUCUGAGAGGAUGAGCCGCCACACUGGGACUGUGAAACGGCCCAGACUCCUACGGGAGGCAGCAGUGGGGAAUAUUGGACAAUGGGGGGAACCCUGAUCCAGCCAUGCCGCGUGUGUGAAGAAGGCCUUAUGGUUAUAAAGCACUUUAAGCGAGGAGGAGGCUACUGAGACUAAUACUCUUGGAUAGUGGACGUUACUCGCAGAAUAAGCACCGGCUAACUCUGUGCCAGCAGCCGCCGUAA
RNAcentral lists this ribosomal RNA (501 nucleotides) under uncultured bacterium. Its description in RNAcentral is "partial 16S ribosomal RNA". It matches the Rfam family "Bacterial small subunit ribosomal RNA", at positions 30 to 523 of the family's 1533-position model. The record is from RNAcentral.